AUAAUUGGUGCCCAGUAAAUUGUAUCUCCCUUGACUCUCUACAGACAUCCUUCACACAAAGUAAAUGAUCAAUAACCAUUUGACUGGCUGCUUAACAAGUGGAACUAAUACAAAUGCUCUCAGUUAAUUUAGGAGGAAGAGCAGACAGAUAGAUCAAGUGCUUUAUGGAGGAGUUUGAGGACAGAGGGAAGGAAGCAAAUGUAAGACUUAAGUACAUCCCUGCUAAGUAUGAGAUAGCACUC
This 242-nucleotide long non-coding RNA is filed under the name Homo sapiens (human). RNAcentral's name for it is "HSALNT0354526". The record is from RNAcentral. Lineage: Eukaryota; Metazoa; Chordata; Mammalia; Primates; Hominidae.